Molecule: ribosomal RNA, 544 nt
Filed under: Eupetaurus nivamons (Yunnan woolly flying squirrel)
Lineage: Eukaryota; Metazoa; Chordata; Mammalia; Rodentia; Sciuridae
Description: partial 16S ribosomal RNA
Rfam family: Bacterial large subunit ribosomal RNA
Source: RNAcentral
CUCUAGCAUCACCAGUAUUAGAGGCACCGCCUGCCCAGUGACACAUGUUUAACGGCCGCGGUAUCCUGACCGUGCAAAGGUAGCAUAAUCAUUUGUUCCUUAAUUAGGGACUUGUAUGAAUGGCUUAACGAGGGUUUAACUGUCUCUUACUCUAAAUCAGUGAAAUUGACCUUUCCGUGAAGAGGCGGAAAUAUUCAAAUAAGACGAGAAGACCCUAUGGAGCUUCUAAACCUAUCAACCUAAGUAAUUCAACACUAUUUCCUUCGGGGUACAAAUUUCAACUUACAGGUUGUAAGUUUUGGUUGGGGUGACCUCGGAGAACAGAUCAACCUCCGAAUGAUCUUAGUCCAGACAUAACCAGUCUAAACUUCUACUCAUUAAUUGACCCAAUCUAUUGAUCAACGGAAUAAGUUACCCUAGGGAUAACAGCGCAAUCCUACUCAAGAGUCCUUAUCGACAGUAGGGUUUACGACCUCGAUGUUGGAUCAGGACAUCCAAAUGGUGUAACCGCUAUUAAUGGUUCGUUUGUUCAACGAUUAAAGUC